CAUAUAUCAUAUCUUUUAUCUCAAUGCUACCCUUUCUUCCCUAAAAUUUCAGGCCACCUUCCUCCUAACUUCUUCCCUAUUCACCUCCCCGAACUUUUCUCAAGAAAUAGCUUAAAUGCUAAGCUACCCCUGCCUCCUAGCCUGAAGAGAAAUCACGCUUCGAAAUCUCUUUUAGUUGUGACACAAAGAGGGGAAGAAAACAACCAUGACUUCCACAAACACCCAGAUCAUCUCUUAUUCUCCUUCUUCUUCUUCUAAAUCAACCCAUCAAUUCACUUAUGAAGUCUUGUUGAGUUUCAGAGGAGAAGACACCCGCCAUGGUUUCACAGAUCAUCUUUAUGAGGCUUUGAUUUCCUGUGGAAUUCGCACCUUUAGAGAUGAUGAAGAACUGGAGAGAGGAGGAGUAAUUGCAUCUGACCUGCUGAAAGCUAUUGAAGAAUCAAAGAUUUUUGUUAUCAUUUUUUCGGAAAACUAUGCUGCCGCUAGGUGGUGUCUAGAUGAACUCGUGAAGAUCAGUGAGUGUGGGGCGACCGAGGGGCGACUGAUUCUACCAAUUUUCUAUCAUGUGGAUCCAGCCCAUGUGCGGAAGCAAAGCGGGAGUUAUGAAAAGGCAUUUGUUGAUCACGAGAAGGAAGCAGAUGAGGAGAAAAGGGAGAAGAUUCAAAAGUGGAGAAGUGCCUUGGCAAAAGUUGGCAAUCUUGCUGGAUAUGAUCUACAAAAAUAUCAAUAUGAGACAAGACUUAUCAAGGAAAUUAUUGAUGUCAUCCUCAAAGAAUUGAACUCCAAGCUCUUACUACAUGUUAGCAAGAACAUAGUUGGAAUGAAUUCUCAUUUGGAAGAACUGAAAUCAUUGAUAAAAAUUGAGUCAAAUGAUGUUCGCAUGAUUGGGAUUUAUGGGCUUGGUGGAAUUGGUAAGACCACAAUUGCCAAAGUUGUAUAUAAUAAUAUCUCACAUCAAUUUGAGAGUAGAAUCUUUCUUGAAAAUGUUAGAGAAAGAUCCAAAGACUACUCAAGUCUACUUAAAUUACAACAAGAACUUCUUAAUGGGGUCAUGAAGGGAAAAAAUAAAAAAAUAAGUAAUGUUCAUGAAGGGAUUAAUGUGAUAAGAAACAGGUUUCACUCUAAAAAGGUUCUUCUUAUUCUUGAUGAUGUAGACGAGUUGAAGCAAUUAGAAUUCUUAGCUGGAGGGCAUAGUUGGUUUGGUCCUGGAAGUAGAAUCAUCAUAACCUCUAGAGAUCAACAUUGUCUAUGUGUGCAUGGAGUCGAUGCACCAUAUAAAGUUGAGGCACUAAGUUACAAGGAAUCUAUUCAACUUUUCUGUCAACAUGCCUUUAAACAAAACAUUCCUAAAAGUGACUAUGUAGACCUCUCAAAUCAUGUAGUAAAUUAUGUGAAAGGCUUACCAUUAGCUCUUGAAGUUUUGGGUUCUUUUCUUUUUGGUAAAAGUGUGUCUGAGUGGGAAAGUGCAUCACAAAAACUAAAGAAAAAGCCCAACAUGCAAGUCCAAAAUGUACUUAAGAUAACCUUUGAUGGAUUGGACAAGACAGAGCAAGAAACAUUCCUUGACAUUGCGUGCUUCUUCAAGGGAUGGAAUGAAAAUGAUGUAACAAGACUAGUAGAGGAUGCAAAGAUUGCAAUAAGAGUUCUUAGUGACAGGUGCCUCAUAACUCUUUUUGGUAAUACCAUAAGGAUGCAUGAUUUGGUAGAAGAAAUGGGUAGAGAAAUUGUUCGACAUGAACAUCCUAAAGAGCCUGGGGAAUGGAGCAGAUUGUGGGACCCCAAGGAUAUUUCCCUUGUAUUGAGAAAAAAAAUGGGAACGAAAGCAGUUGAAGCGAUAUUUCUAGACAUGUGUACAUCAAGAGAGAUCUCAUUUACUACUAAAGCUUUCAAAAGGAUGGGGAGACUUAGAUUAUUCAAAAUUUAUUGGAGUUGUGGUUUUCUUAAUUAUAUGGGAAAACAGUGUCAAAAGCUCCUCCUUCCUGAAGACUUUGAAUUUCCUUCACAUUAUUUAAGAUAUCUUCAUUGGGAAGGAUACUCUUUGAAAUCCUUGCCUUCAAAUUUUGAUGGAGAGAACCUCAUUGAACUCAACUUGCAGCAUAGCAAUAUAGAACACCUUUGGCAAGGGAAAAAGUAUCUAGAAGAGUUGAAGAUCUUGAAUUUAUCAGAAUCUCAGCAGCUCAAUGAAAUCCCACACUUCUCAAAUAUGCCAAAUUUGGAGCGACUAGAUGUUGAAGGUUGUAGAAGUUUGGAUAAUGUUGACUCAUCUAUUGGUUUCUUGAAGAACCUUACUUUGUUGAAUUUGAGAUGGUGCCCAAAGAUUAGGAGCUUGCCAAGUACAAUUCAAAACUUGGUCUCUCUUAAAAGUCUUUAUUUAGAUGUAACUGCUAUUGAAGAAUUACCAUCCUCAAUAUAUCAUCUCACCUCACUUCAGUUGCUAUCUAUUGAUGUAUGCAAAAACUUGAGGAGUCUUCCGAGCAGCAUUUGUAAGUUGAAAUACCUUGAAGAACUUAAUCUCGUUGGUUGUUCAAACUUGGAGACUUUUCCGGAAAUCAUGGAGGUUAUGGAAUGCUUAAAUUCACUUGAUUUAAGUGAAACGUGUAUAAAAGAGCUUCCAUCAUCAAUUGAGUUUCUAAAACAUCUCAUUGUUUUGAUUUUAAGGAAGUGUGAAAACUUGAGGAGUCUUCCGAGCAGCAUUUGUAGGUUGAAAUACCUUGAAGAACUUAAUCUCUCUAAUUGUUCAAACUUUGAGACUUUUCCGGAAAUCAUGGAGGUUAUGGAAUGCUUAAAGACACUUGAUUUAAGUGGAACGUGUAUAAAAGAGCUUCCAUCAUCAAUUGAGUUUCUAAAACAUCUCACUUAUUUGCAGUUAGUGAAGUGUGAAAACUUGAGGAGUCUUCCGAGCAGCAUUUGUAGGUUGAAAUACCUUCAAGAACUUAAUCUCUCUAAUUGUUCAAACUUUGAGACUUUUCCGGAAAUCAUGGAGGUUAUGGAAUGCUUAAAGGCACUUGAUUUAAGUGGAACGUGUAUAAAAGAGCUUCCAUCAUCAAUUGAGUUUCUAAAACAUCUCACUUAUUUGCAGUUAGUGAAGUGUGAAAACUUGAGGAGUCUUCCGAGCAGCAUUUGUAGGUUGAAAUACCUUGAAAUACUUUAUCUCUUUGAUUGUUCAAACUUUGAGACUUUUCCGGAAAUCAUGGAGGUUAUGGAAUGCUUAAAGUCGCUUAAUUUAAGUGGAACGUGUAUAAAAGAGCUUCCAUCAUCAAUUGAGUUUCUAAAACAUCUCACUUAUUUGCAGUUAGUGAAGUGUGAAAACUUGAGGAGUCUUCCGAGCAGCAUUUGUAGGUUGAAAUACCUUGAACAACUUCAUCUCUCUGGUUGUUCAAACUUGGAGACUUUUCCGGAAAUCAUGGAGGAUAUGGAAUGCUUAAAGUCGCUUAAUUUAAGUGGAACGUGUAUAAAAGAGCUUCCAUCAUCAAUUGAGUUUCUAAAACAUCUCACUUAUUUGCAGUUAGUGAAGUGUGAAAACUUGAGGAGUCUUCCGAGCAGCAUUUGUAGGUUGAAAUACCUUGCACAACUUCAUCUCUCUGGUUGUUCAAACUUGGAGACUUUUCCGGAAAUCAUGGAGGAUAUGGAAUGCUUAAAGUCGCUUAAUUUAAGUGGAACGUGUAUAAAAGAGCUUCCAUCAUCAAUUGAGUUUCUAAAACAUCUUGUUGAUUUGCAUUUGAUCCAUUGCAAAAACUUGAGGAGUCUUCCAAGCAGCAUUGGUAGGUUGAAAUCGCUUCAACAACUCUGUCUCACUGGCUGUCCAAACCUAGUCACAGAGGACAUGGAAAAUUUAAUAAAUCUUGGUUUAUUAGCAACCCCAAGGGAUUUAUGGUGCCUAUCCUCGCUGGUAGAAUUAGAUCUAAGUCAAAACAAUAUGCAUCACAUACCUACUGGUAUUACUCAACUAUGUAAUCUAAGACGCCUUAAUAUCAGUCAUUGCAAGAUGCUUGAAGAAAUUCCAGAGCUUCCAUCAAGUCUAAGAGAAAUAAAUGCACAUGAUUGCCCAAUCUUUGGAACUCUAUCAAAUCCAUCAACUCUUCUCUGGUCUUUUCUCCUCAAAUGGUUCGAGAAAAUUGAGCCUCCUUUGAAAUGGAGAAGUAUUAAUCUAGGAGGUAAUGGAAUUCCAGGGUGGGUACUGCAUCAGAAAAUGAGAAGCCAAAUAAGAAUAGAGCUUCCUAUGAAUUGGUACGAAGAUGACCACUUCCAUGGAUUUGGAUUUUUCUGUCUUCAUCAUCAAUCAAAAGAAUUUCUUUUAUCUUUGAAAUUUGAUGAAGGAGAAUAUGCUCGCGAUGUAGUAGAAAAUUUCUGUAGCGAAUGCCACGAGAUUAAUGAUAGUGAAUCAGAUCAAGUGUUGCUAGUGUACUAUCCUAAGAUUUCUUUUAGGGACAAGUUCCACUCCAAUCAAUAUAGGCACCUUCAGGCUUCAUUUGGUCCAUAUUAUCAAGAAUCAAAAAUGAAAAGUUGUGGGGUUCAUCUUAUAUACUCUUAAGACGAUCAACAAAACCAUAUCUCGUCGGUAGAUUUUCUUGGCACCCAAGAUGAUGAAGACAACCAUAUAUGCCUAUGUUGUUGAAUAUUCUUGAGAAUUUUGGUGACAACAUAUCAACAACAAAAGCUAUGAAGAGAAGCCGUGAUGACAUAGAACAUAACCAAGCGGAGGAACCACACCAUAAAAGAUCGAGAGAACCCAAUACCGAUCUCAAGCUUUAAACUCAAACACCAACCACAGGUAGCUGCUGCCAUAUAUGCACCAGUGGCGGGUCUUCACCGCUACAAUAACAUCACUAUAUAUAGACCAGUGCCUCCCGCUCACCCUUGUUUCUACUCACCCCCACUGCAAAAACCAUUCACGGUGCUGAUGCCAUUCCCAUUCCCUUCCUUUAACAAUGAGCAGUACUCAGACAAAAAGAGAUUUUGCAGUGGUUAAUAAUGGAGAUUAUUGGAGUGUGGAUGAAGAGUCUUGCUUGAGAUCCCUUCUGGACAUAUAUACAGAAGAUCUUUCACCUGGACAUAUAUACAAAGGACUACUAGUUCUUAUUAGUCUCAAGUCAUUGAUUGAUCUAUUUUUUUGGAGGUACAACUUGAUGGAUAUUGGCCUGCAGAAUUUGGCAUGGAUUCAACUGGAAAUGAAUUGGCUUUGGUAUCAAUGGAACAUCCAAGGUCCUCUGUAUCAAUUACAGGAGGCCCAACCCUGUUAAAUGGUCAUUCAACAGUUCAUAAAUUUUUGUGUUGUGACACAGUGGCUUAUUAAUCACCCCAAGUUUCAGAAAAAUCCACUUUACAUCAGUGGUGACUCGUAGUCAGGCAUAAUCAUCCCCAUGGUGGUUCAGGAAAUAUAUAUCCAAUGGUAAUGAUGCAGGGAAAGAGCCAAAAAAUGAAUAUUCAAGGAUACACCAUUGGAAACCCAAUAACAAAUCACUUUAGUGACUUCAAUUCAAGAAUUGCAUACACUCAUCAAGUAGGAAUUCUAUCAUAUGAGCUUUAUGAGGCCAAUAUCUAAAAGCUAAGGUUGAUGGAGGAUUUGGCAGGGACAUGCUGGAGUUUUUGUUGAAAGGACAUGUGGUUGCUUAUAGAACCAUGGUUACAAGAGUUUCUUGAAAUAGCCUGAAGAUUAUUUGAUUGAUAGAGUUGUCGACUUGUGAUGCAGUUGCGUUUGCUGAAAGAUUAUCUAAAUGGCAGUGUCGAUAUGAUUAUGGUUUGCUGAUGUUUAUAUUGACAUUCAGUUUGGUAUCUGUAACGGGCUAUCCUCAACCAUCCUCAUUAGUAGCACCACAGCUGUGUUUGUAUCCAUAGGCAUCUGCCCAAUGUGGGCUGAUGAUGAUCUUCACAAGUUGGUUGCUGGCGAUGUUGAAAAGCUUGGGAACUUCUUAGAAGGAUUUUCAGGGGAAUAUUUUAGAGUCUUAGGAGAUGGAGAAUCCAAGGAUAGCAAAACAUUUCUUCAAGGAUACAAAAGUAUUUUGACUUCAAAAAUCAUUGAAGAUUCCUUGACAAAUUUUGUAAGAUAGGAGUCUAGACAUGGUCGUUUCAGGUUUCGUCAUCCUUAGAAACAAUUCCAAAAGAUUGGAUCCCUAGCUGGCCAAUGCACCUAUCUCAUUGAUGCUCUUAACAACUACCCUCACUCUCAUAUCCCGUGCUAAACACAAGGUAGAAUUGGAGCUUUGUGCAAAAAAAACGCCAAACACUUCCAUGAUCUUAGACUUCUUCAAAGGUUGGGAAAAAUGCAAGCUCUGGAAUGCAUUUCGUGAACAUAUGGAGACAUUGAACAGAUGCCUUGUCCCCAGAAGUCUCCAAGUGAGUAAUGAAAGGAUAUAAAACUGAUUUCCAUAAAGGAUGAAAGUCUCUCUACUGUAUCAGCAAUCGAUGAACCAGUGCAUGAAAUCAUCGUGUUUUCUUCUACAAAUCCAUGUGUGAAAAUUGGUGGUCCAAAAUUGAUUGGCCACGUAAGCAAAGUUAGUUAAUUAACUAACUGAAAGUGUGAGCUGGCACACCUGUUUGCUUAGCAUUUUUUUUUUCAUGUACACGUGUAUAAAAAUGUGAAGAAAAAAAAAGAGUUUUGAAUUGUAGAAAAGAAGUGAGAGGAUUUCAUAGUGUGAGUCUUUUUCACUGUACUAUAACGAGAGCUUGAUGAUUCUCAGAGAUUCUUGAGGAUGUAAAAUGAUUCAAUCUUAGUGGAUUUUUGGAGGUGAUCUUGAUUCGUGGAUGUAGGAUUCAAUCUUGGAUCCGAACCACGUAAAUCCUGCUUGUUUUGUUAUGUUUUGAUAUUAGAUAUUAUUUUCUUUUGAUUUAUGGUUUUGUUUUCUUUGUCUUCUUGGAUUGGUGUUCAAUCUCAAUUCAUUGAGGAACUUGGAU
Molecule: RNA transcript, 6891 nt
Organism: Vitis riparia (riverbank grape)
Lineage: Eukaryota; Viridiplantae; Streptophyta; Magnoliopsida; Vitales; Vitaceae
Gene name: disease resistance protein RUN1-like
Exons: 16
Source: RefSeq, a predicted model, not a curated record